This 677-nucleotide ribosomal RNA is filed under the name uncultured organism. RNAcentral's name for it is "bacterial SSU rRNA". It matches the Rfam family "Bacterial small subunit ribosomal RNA", at positions 88 to 744 of the family's 1533-position model. The record is from RNAcentral.
GAGUUUAGUGGCGGACGGGUGAGUAAUGCAUGGGUAACGUACCCCAGGCACAGGGAUAGCGGUGCGAAAGCGCCGGUAAUACCUGGUGAUAUCCGGGAGUCGCAUGGCUUCUGGAUCAUAGGUGGGGACCUUCGGGCCUACUGGCCUGGGAUCGGCCCAUGUCCUAUCAGCUUGUUGGUGGGGUAAUGGCCUACCAAGGCGAAGACGGGUAGCCGGCGUGAGAGCGCGACCGGCCACAUCGGGACUGAGACACUGCCCGGACACCUACGGGUGGCUGCAGCAACGAAUAUUCCGCAAUGGGCGCAAGCCUGACGGAGCGACGCCGCGUGGAGGAUGAAGUCUUUCGGGAUGUAAACUUCAAUAGUUUGUCAGGAAGCAAAGGGACCUAAUACGUCCCGGCGUUGACCAGCGAACGAAAGGGGCGGCUAACUCCGUGCCAGCAAGCCGCGGUAAGACGGAGGCCCCUAGCGUUGUUCGGAAUCACUGGGCUUAAAGAGGGUGUAUGCGGAGCAGCAAGUACUUUGUGAAAGCCCACGGGCUCAAACCCGGGAAUUGCUUGGUAUACUGUUGCUCUUGAGGCAGGUACGGGUCACUGGAACCUUACGUGGAGCGGUGAAAUGCGUAGAUAUCUAAGGGAACGGCCUGUGGCGAAAGCGGGUGACUGGGCCUGUCCUGAC